Molecule: ribosomal RNA, 292 nt
Filed under: uncultured bacterium
Lineage: Bacteria
Description: partial 16S ribosomal RNA
Rfam family: Bacterial small subunit ribosomal RNA
Source: RNAcentral
GUGCCAGCAGCCGCGGUAAUACGUAGGUGGCAAGCGUUGUCCGGAAUUAUUGGGCGUAAAGCGCGCGCAGGUGGUCCUUUAAGUCUGAUGUGAAAGCCCACGGCUCAACCGUGGAGGGUCAUUGGAAACUGGGGGACUUGAGUGCAGAAGAGGAUAGUGGAAUUCCAAGUGUAGCGGUGAAAUGCGUAGAGAUUUGGAGGAACACCAGUGGCGAAGGCGACUAUCUGGUCUGUAACUGACACUGAGGCGCGAAAGCGUGGGGAGCAAACAGGAUUAGAAACCCGGGUAGUCC